AGGGAAUUUUCCACAAUGGGCGAAAGCCUGAUGGAGCAACGCCGCGUGAGGGAUGAAGCAUUUCGGUGUGUAAACCUCUUUGGAGCGGGAAGAAUGCCGUUUGGGUGAACAGUCCAGACGGGUGACGGUACCGCUAGAACAAGACACGGCUAACUUCGUGCCAGCAGCCGCGGUAAUACGAAGGUGUCAAACGUUGUCCGGAAUUAUUGGGCGUAAAGGGCGCGUAGGCGGCCAGGUAAGUGAGAUGUGAAAGCGCUGGGCUCCACCCAGGAAUUGCAUUUCAUACUGCUUGGCUUGAGUUCGGUAGAGGAGGGCGGAAUUCCAGAAGUAGCGGUGAAAUGCGUAGAUAUCUGGAGGAACACCCGUGGCGAAGGCGGCUCUCUGGUCCGAUACUGACGCUGAGGCGCGAAAGGUAGGGGAGCAAAC
This 426-nucleotide ribosomal RNA is filed under the name uncultured bacterium. RNAcentral's name for it is "bacterial SSU rRNA". It matches the Rfam family "Bacterial small subunit ribosomal RNA", at positions 356 to 773 of the family's 1533-position model. The record is from RNAcentral.